This 329-nucleotide ribosomal RNA is filed under the name uncultured eukaryote. RNAcentral describes it as "partial 18S ribosomal RNA". It matches the Rfam family "Eukaryotic small subunit ribosomal RNA", at positions 1470 to 1796 of the family's 1831-position model. The record is from RNAcentral.
CCCUUAGAUGUUCUGGGCCGCACGCGCGCUACACUGACGAUGGCAACGAGUUUUUCCUUCGCCGAAAGGUGUGGGUAAUCUUUUGAAACAUCGUCGUGCUGGGGAUAGAUCAUUGCAAUUUUUGAUCUUGAACGAGGAAUUCCUAGUAAGCGCGAGUCAUCAGCUCGCGUUGAUUACGUCCCUGCCCUUUGUACACACCGCCCGUCGCUACUACCGAUUGAAUGGUUUAGUGAGGACUCCUGAUUGGCGCCGCCGCCCCGGCAACGGUGCAGCGGACUGCCGAAAAGUUGUUCAAACUUGAUCAUUUAGAGGAAGUAAAAGUCGUAACA